AGUGAACGCUGGCGGUAGGCCUAACACAUGCAAGUCGAACGGCAGCACAGUAAGCUCUUGCUCUUACGGGUGGCGAGUGGCGGACGGGUAAGGCAUGCAUCACAAUCUUCUUUUUCUUGGGGGAUAUCGGGGAGAAGCUGAUGAUAACACCGCAUACGAUCUACGGCUGAAAGCAGGGGUUCUUCACACCUUUCGUGAUUCUAUGAGCCGGAUUCGGGUUAGCUAGUUUGCGGGGUAAAGGCCCACCAAGGCGACGAUCCGUAGCUGGUCUGAGAGGGUGAUCGGCCACACUGGAACUGAGACACGGUCCAGACUCCUACGGGAGGCAGCAGUGGGGAAUAUUGGGCAAUGGGCGCAAGCCUGAUCCAGCAAUACCGCGUGAGUGAAGAAGGCCUUCGGGUUGUAAAGCUCUUUUGUUGGGAAAGAACAGCAGCAGGUUAAUACCCCGCUGUUCUGACGGUACCCAAAGAAUAAGCAACGGCUAACUUCGUG
RNAcentral lists this ribosomal RNA (492 nucleotides) under uncultured bacterium. RNAcentral describes it as "partial 16S ribosomal RNA". It matches the Rfam family "Bacterial small subunit ribosomal RNA", at positions 29 to 507 of the family's 1533-position model. The record is from RNAcentral.